RNAcentral lists this transfer RNA (75 nucleotides) under Alphaproteobacteria bacterium. Its description in RNAcentral is "tRNA-Thr". It matches the Rfam family "tRNA". Rfam says of the family: Transfer RNA (tRNA) molecules are approximately 80 nucleotides in length. Their secondary structure includes four short double-helical elements and three loops (D, anti-codon, and T loops). Lineage: Bacteria; Pseudomonadati; Pseudomonadota; Alphaproteobacteria. The record is from RNAcentral.
GCCGACGUAGCUCAGAGGUAGAGCAACCGAUUCGUAAUCGGUAGGUCGUAGGUUCAACUCCUACCGUCGGCACCA